AGUGAACGCUGGCGGUAGGCCUAACACAUGCAAGUCGAACGGCAGCACAGUAAGAGCUUGCUCUUACGGGUGGCGAGUGGCGGACGGGUGAGGAAUACAUCGGAAUCUACUUUUUCGUGGGGGAUAACGUAGGGAAACUUACGCUAAUACCGCAUACGACCUACGGGUGAAAGCAGGGGAUCUUCGGACCUUGCGCGAUUGAAUGAGCCGAUGUCGGAUUAGCUAGUUGGCGGGGUAAAGGCCCACCAAGGCGACGAUCCGUAGCUGGUCUGAGAGGAUGAUCAGCCACACUGGAACUGAGACACGGUCCAGACUUCUACGGGAGGCAGCAGUGGGGAAUAUUGGACAAUGGGCGCAAGCCUGAUCCAGCCAUACCGCGUGGGUGAAGAAGGCCUUCGGGUUGUAAAGCCCUUUUGUUGGGAAAGAAAAGCAGCAGGUUAAUACCCCGCUGUUCUGACGGUACCCAAAGAAUAAGCACCGGCUAACUUCGU
RNAcentral lists this ribosomal RNA (491 nucleotides) under uncultured bacterium. Its description in RNAcentral is "partial 16S ribosomal RNA". It matches the Rfam family "Bacterial small subunit ribosomal RNA", at positions 29 to 506 of the family's 1533-position model. The record is from RNAcentral.